RNAcentral lists this ribosomal RNA (482 nucleotides) under uncultured bacterium. Its description in RNAcentral is "partial 16S ribosomal RNA". It matches the Rfam family "Bacterial small subunit ribosomal RNA", at positions 30 to 507 of the family's 1533-position model. The record is from RNAcentral.
AUUGAACGCUGGCGGCAUGCUUUACACAUGCAAGUCGAACGGUAACAGGCCGCAAGGUGCUGACGAGUGGCGCACGGGUGAGUAAUGCAUCGGAACGUGCCCAGUCGUGGGGGAUAACUACUCGAAAGAGUAGCUAAUACCGCAUACGAUCUAUGGAUGAAAGCGGGGGACCGUAAGGCCUCGCGCGAUUGGAGCGGCCGAUGUCAGAUUAGGUAGUUGGUGGGGUAAAGGCUCACCAAGCCAACGAUCUGUAGCUGGUCUGAGAGGACGACCAGCCACACUGGGACUGAGACACGGCCCAGACUCCUACGGGAGGCAGCAGUGGGGAAUUUUGGACAAAGGGCGCAAGCCUGAUCCAGCAAUGCCGCGUGCAGGAAGAAGGCCUUCGGGUUGUAAACUGCUUUUGUACGGAACGAAACGGCUCUGGUUAAUACCCGGGGCUAAUGACGGUACCGUAAGAAUAAGCACCGGCUAACUACGUG